AGCGAACGCUGGCGGCAGGCUUAACACAUGCAAGUCGAGCGGACCUUUCGGGGUCAGCGGCGGACGGGUGAGUAGCGCGUGGGAACGUGCCUUCUGGUCUGGAAUAACCCUGGGAAACUAGGGCUAAUACCGGAUACGCCCUUUUGGGGAAAGGUUUACUGCCGGAAGAUCGGCCCGCGUCUGAUUAGCUAGUUGGUGGGGUAACGGCCUACCAAGGCGACGAUCAGUAGCUGGUCUGAGAGGAUGAUCAGCCACACUGGGACUGAGACACGGCCCAGACUCCUACGGGAGGCAGCAGUGGGGAAUAUUGGACAAUGGGCGCAAGCCUGAUCCAGCCAUGCCGCGUGAGUGAUGAAGGCCUUAGGGUUGUAAAGCUCUUUUAUCCGGGACGAUAAUGACGGUACCGGAGGAAUAAGCCCCGGCUAACUUCGUGCCAGCAGCCGCCGU
Molecule: ribosomal RNA, 447 nt
Filed under: uncultured bacterium
Lineage: Bacteria
Description: bacterial SSU rRNA
Rfam family: Bacterial small subunit ribosomal RNA
Source: RNAcentral